This 483-nucleotide ribosomal RNA is filed under the name uncultured bacterium. RNAcentral's name for it is "bacterial SSU rRNA". It matches the Rfam family "Bacterial small subunit ribosomal RNA", at positions 28 to 526 of the family's 1533-position model. The record is from RNAcentral.
GAUGAACGCUGGCGGCGUGCUUAACACAUGCAAGUCGAACGGAAAGGCCCUGCUUGCAGGGUACUCGAGUGGCGAACGGGUGAGUAACACGUGGGUGAUCUGCCCUGUACUUUGGGAUAAGCCUGGGAAACUGGGUCUAAUACCGAAUAUGACCACUUCUUGGAUGGGGUGGUGGAAAGCUUUUGCGGUAUGGGAUGAGCUCGCGGCCUAUCAGCUUGUUGGUGGGGUAAUGGCCUACCAAGGCGUCGACGGGUAGCCGGCCUGAGAGGGUGUACGGCCACAUUGGGACUGAGAUACGGCCCAGACUCCUACGGGAGGCAGCAGUGGGGAAUAUUGCACAAUGGGCGCAAGCCUGAUGCAGCGACGCCGCGUGGGGGAUGACGGCCUUCGGGUUGUAAACUCCUUUCGCAACCGACGAAGCUUUUGUGACGGUAGGUUGAGAAGAAGCACCGGCUAACUACGUGCCAGCCGCCGCAGUAACAC